UACGUAGGUGACAAGCGUUGUCCGGAUUUACUGGGCGUAAAGAGCGCGCAGGCGGUCGAUCAAGUCGAGUGUGAAAGCCCCCGGCUCAACUGGGGAGGGUCAUUCGAUACUGAUCGACUCGAAGGCAGGAGAGGGUAGUGGAAUUCCCGGUGUAGUGGUGAAAUGCGUAGAUAUCGGGAAGAACACCAGUGGCGAAAGCGGCUCUCUGGGGACCAUCUGACGCUGAGGCGCGAAAGCGUGGGGAGCGAACCGG
RNAcentral lists this ribosomal RNA (253 nucleotides) under uncultured bacterium. RNAcentral's name for it is "partial 16S ribosomal RNA". It matches the Rfam family "Bacterial small subunit ribosomal RNA", at positions 524 to 776 of the family's 1533-position model. The record is from RNAcentral.